Molecule: long non-coding RNA, 1013 nt
Filed under: Homo sapiens (human)
Lineage: Eukaryota; Metazoa; Chordata; Mammalia; Primates; Hominidae
Description: HSALNT0374267
Source: RNAcentral
AGUCCUACAGAGAGACACACCUCUUGCUUGUUCAGGUUCCAGAUUCUGAAUUCGACCUUCUCUUAACUCCGCAGAAUGCAGUUGAGAUGCAUAGAAAAAGUCUGGGACUACUUACACCUAUUUGCUAGCAUGUCUUUGAAGAAUGUUACUAGAGAGAAGCAGGUACAACCUUGUGAUUAUUAUGCUUUGAACUUGAUGCUGUGCUGAACACAUAAAAAGAGCCCUCAUGAUGAGAGAUUGGAAGGAGAAUGAAAGAAAGGAAGCAAGAUCAUCCAGAGAACCAUGAAGUAGUGACCUUCAGUGACCUUCAGUGAUGAGGUGAAAAGUGUCCGGACAGGAUGAGACCUGUAUACUUGUAAUUUUUUCUAGAAAUAUCUGGAAAACAAAGCAAGAGAAGUAGAAGUAUUUGUAGCUUUUACUGGAGAAGAUUUUUGUAUUUUUCUAAGUAGAUAUGUUAGUUGCCCAUGUUAGUAAAAUUUUAAAAUGUUUUAAAAGUCUUAAACAUUUUUAUCUCUAGUGUACAUUGUUGUUGAUUUUUACACAGAGUUUUGGGUAAAUUUUGAACAUUUUUUAAAAUAGAAAAAGAUGACAUUCUUAAGAAAAAAAAGCACUACUAACUCCUUAUUUUACAUCCCCCCAUCCCCUAGGUCUGGCAUUCAUCAGCAUUCACACAUCUGCAGAAGGGGUAUGAGGGAGAAAUGACUUCAUUAAUUAUUGUGUCACCAAGUUUUUCUUCUCUUGAUUCCUAAGAAGAAGAAACAGAGAUUACAUGUGUUUACUUAAGGGUAAGCACUAACUGAAUGCUUACUGAGUGGCUAGAUGAAUAUCUAAAAAAAAAAAUGGUUUCUGUAGGCGUUGGAUUCUGCUCAAUGCUUAUGCCCACCCAGAAUGCUCUAUAAAACCUUCACUGUUGUUCUCAGGAUCAGCCUUCCUGAAUUCAUCCUAUAAACUUUUAAUGAGUGACCUGUUUGUAAAACUCCCUUCCAGAUUGGCAAAUACAAGUUGAUAGAGAA